GUUGUAAUUUGCAGAGGAUGCUUUUGGCAAGGUGCCUUCCGAGUUCCCUGGAACGGGACGCCNUAGAGGGUGAGAGCCCCGUCUGGUCGGACACCGAGCCUCUGUAAAGCUCCUUCGACGAGUCGAGUAGUUUGGGAAUGCUGCUCAAAAUGGGAGGUAUAUGUCUUCUAAAGCUAAAUACCGGCCAGAGACCGAUAGCGCACAAGUAGAGUGAUCGAAAGAUGAAAAGCACUUUGAAAAGAGAGUUAAAUAGCACGUGAAAUUGUUGAAAGGGAAGCGUUUAUGACCAGACUUGGCCCGGUUGAUCAUCCUCCCUUCUGGCUGGUGCACUCUGCCGGUCCGGGCCAGCAUCAGUUCAUCUCGGGGGAUAAAGGUUUCGGGAAUGUAUCUCCUCCGGGAGUGUUAUAGCCCGUUGCGUAAUACCCUGCGGUGGACUGAGGUCCGCGCUCUGCA
This 453-nucleotide ribosomal RNA is filed under the name soil fungal sp. DM2-175. RNAcentral's name for it is "eukaryotic LSU rRNA". It matches the Rfam family "Eukaryotic large subunit ribosomal RNA", at positions 142 to 604 of the family's 3401-position model. The record is from RNAcentral. Lineage: Eukaryota; Fungi.